Molecule: small nuclear RNA, 107 nt
Organism: Dipodomys ordii (Ord's kangaroo rat)
Lineage: Eukaryota; Metazoa; Chordata; Mammalia; Rodentia; Heteromyidae
Source: Ensembl
GUGCUUGCUUCAGCAGCAUAUAUACUAAAAUUGGUACGAUACAGAGAAGAUUAGCAUGGCACUUGCCCAAGGAUGACAUGUAAAUUCAUGAAGUGUUCCAUAUUUUU